ACUAUCAGCCAUAACCCAACUUAUACAUGCAAGUAUCCGCAUCCCUGUGAGAAUGCCCUCAAUCCCCCGCCCGGGGACGAGGAGCAGGCAUCAGGCACAACCCACAGCCCAAGACGCCUUGCUACGCCACACCCCCAAGGGAACUCAGCAGUAAUAAACAUUAAGCCAUAAGUGCAAACUUGACUUAGUCAGGGUUAAGAGGGUCGGUAAAAUUCGUGCCAGCCACCGCGGUUAUACGAAAGACCCCAGUUGAUAAACACGGCGUAAAGGGUGGUUAAGGGAAACAACUAAUAAAGCUAAAGACCCUCUAAGCCGUCAUACGCACUCCGAGGUCACGAAACCCAAACACGAAAGUAGCUUUAAACCUAUAACACCUGACCCCACGAAAGCUAAGAAACAAACUGGGAUUAGAUACCCCACUAUGCUUAGCCAUAAACCUAGAUGUACACUUACACACACAUCCGCCAGGGUACUACAAGCAUAGCUUAAAACCCAAAGGACUUGGCGGUGUCUCAGACCCAU
Molecule: ribosomal RNA, 522 nt
Filed under: Clarias gariepinus (North African catfish)
Lineage: Eukaryota; Metazoa; Chordata; Actinopteri; Siluriformes; Clariidae
Description: partial small subunit ribosomal RNA
Rfam family: Bacterial small subunit ribosomal RNA
Source: RNAcentral